CGGCGGACGGGUGAGUAACGCGUGGGUAACCUGCCCUAAAGCCCGGGAUAACACCGGGAAACUGGUGCUAACACCGGAUACCUUCCGAAGAGGGCAUCCUUUUUGGAAGAAAGGUUAACGCUUUAGGAUGGGCCCGCGUCCCAUUAGCUAGUUGGUGAGGUAACGGCUCACCAAGGCAGUGAUGGGUAGCCGGCCUGAGAGGGUGGACGGCCACACUGGGACUGAGACACGGCCCAGACUCCUACGGGAGGCAGCAGUAGGGAAUAUUGCGCAAUGGGCGAAAGCCUGACGCAGCGACGCCGCGUGGGUGAUGAAGGCCUUCGGGUUGUAAAACCCUGUCCUUGGGGAAGAAGGAAGUGACGGUACCCAAGGAGGAAGCCCCGGCUAACUACGUGCCAGCAGCCGCGGUAAAACGUAGGGGGCGAGCGUUGUCCGGAAUUACUGGGCGUAAA
RNAcentral lists this ribosomal RNA (452 nucleotides) under uncultured bacterium. RNAcentral's name for it is "bacterial SSU rRNA". It matches the Rfam family "Bacterial small subunit ribosomal RNA", at positions 96 to 564 of the family's 1533-position model. The record is from RNAcentral.